AGCAGUUUGUGAAAUAAUGGUAUUGAGACGGGCCUUAAAGUUUUUAUGUUUUAUUUUCGUUGACAACGCUUCCAGCCAGUGAUAUAGUCGGAAUUGUGAAGGACAAAUCUUCACGGCAUUUGAAGAUGAAGGGAAUGUUAUCGACAUGCAAGGUAAAGUAAAAUGGUUUAACGCUGAGAAAGGCUAUGGCUUUAUCGAGACUGCAGAAGGCAACGACGUAUUCGUUCACUUCUCCGCUAUCCAAGCGGAUGGCUUCAAGACUCUGGAAGAAGGUCAAGAAGUUGAGUUCGAUAUCGUGGAAGGCGCACGCGGUCCACAAGCAGCUAACGUAAUCAAACUGUAAUUAUACCGACGUGAGUCGAAUUAUAUAUGAUUCCGAUUAGCUAGACGCAACCCCGGCAGAUACAGCCGGGGUUUUUCA
Molecule: small RNA, 421 nt
Filed under: Paenibacillus dendritiformis C454
Lineage: Bacteria; Bacillati; Bacillota; Bacilli; Caryophanales; Paenibacillaceae
Description: cspA thermoregulator
Rfam family: cspA thermoregulator
Source: Rfam by way of RNAcentral